ACGAAUCCCAUCUGGGUAACUGGAUGGGGGAAGUGGCGAAAGGGGCAGUAAGGCAUGGGUAACCUACCCUGGAGUUGGGCAUANCAUUCUAACGAAUGGGUAAUUCCCGAUAGCCUAGCGAGGGGACAUCUUCUUGCUAGUAAAGAAUCUCGCUCUGGGAGGGGCCCAUGUGCUAUUAGCUAGUUGGCGGGGUAACGGCCCACCAAGGCUAAGAUGGCUAGCGGGUGUGAGAGCACGACCCGCGCCACUGGCACUGAGACACUGGCCAGACACCUACGGGUGGCUGCAGUCGAGGAUCUUCGUCAAUGGGCGAAAGCCUGAACGAGCGACGCCGCGUGCGCGAUGAAGGCCUUCGGGUUGUAAAGCGCGAAAGAUGGGACGAAAGCCGAAAGGUUUGACCGAUCAUCAGUAAGCUCGGGCUAAGUUCGUGCCAGCAGCCGCGGUAAGACGAACCGAGCAAACGUUAUUCGGAAUCACUGGGCUUAAAGGGCGCGUAGGCGGGCAUCAUAGUCUGUGGUGAAAUCCGGCAGCUUAACUGUCGAACUGCCAUGGAUACUGGGUGUCUCGAGGAAGGUAGGGGCAUGCGGAACUAUUGGUGGAGCGGUGAAAUGCGUUGAUAUCAAUAGGAACUCCGGUGGCGAAGGCGGCAUGCUGGACCUUUUCUGACGCUGAGGCGCGAAAGCCAGGGGAGCAAACGGGAUUAGAUACCCCGGUAGUCCUGGCCCUAAACGUUGGGUACUAGAUAGUAGACUUCACAUGGGUUUACUGUCGAAGCAAAAGUGCUAAGUACCCCGCCUGGGGAGUAUGGUCGCAAGGCUGAAACUCAAAGGAAUUGACGGAUCGA
RNAcentral lists this ribosomal RNA (844 nucleotides) under uncultured bacterium. Its description in RNAcentral is "bacterial SSU rRNA". It matches the Rfam family "Bacterial small subunit ribosomal RNA", at positions 66 to 921 of the family's 1533-position model. The record is from RNAcentral.